GAUGAACGCUGGCGGCGUGCCUAAUACAUGCAAGUCGAGCGAACAGACGAUGAGCUUGCUCCUCUGCCGUUAGCGGCGGACGGGCGAGUAACACGUGGAUAACCUACCUAUAAUACUGGGAUAACUUCGGGAAACCGGUGCUACUACCACAUAAUAUAUUGAACCGCAUGGUUCAAUAGUGAUACACGGUUUUGCUGUCACUUAUAGAUGGAUCCGCGCGGCAUUAGCUAGUUGGUAAGGUAACGGCUUACCAAGGCGACGAUGCGUAGCCGACCUGAGAGGGUGAUCGGCCACACUGGAACUGAGACACGGUCCAGACUCCUACGGGAGGCAGCAGUAGGGAAUCUUCCGCAAUGGGCGAAAGCCUGACGGAGCAACGCCGCGUGAGUGAUGAAGGUCUUCGGAUCGUAAAACUCUGUUAUUAGGGAAGAACAAAUGUGUAAGUAACUAUGCACGUCUUGACGGUACCUAAUCAGAAAGCCACGGCUAACUACGUG
Molecule: ribosomal RNA, 497 nt
Filed under: uncultured bacterium
Lineage: Bacteria
Description: partial 16S ribosomal RNA
Rfam family: Bacterial small subunit ribosomal RNA
Source: RNAcentral